This 252-nucleotide ribosomal RNA is filed under the name uncultured bacterium. Its description in RNAcentral is "partial 16S ribosomal RNA". It matches the Rfam family "Bacterial small subunit ribosomal RNA", at positions 57 to 305 of the family's 1533-position model. The record is from RNAcentral.
GCAAGUCGAACGCGAAAGUUUUCUUCGGAAAAUGAGUAGAGUGGCGCACGGGUGAGUAACGCGUAAGUAAUCUACCCUGAUAUCUGGGAUAACAAUUGGAAACGAUUGCUAAUACCGGAUACGUUGAUUUAUCAAGAAAGAUGGCCUCUUCAUGAAAGCUAUUGUAUCAGGAGGAGCUUGCGUACCAUUAGCUAGUUGGUGGGGUAAUGGCCUACCAAGGCGACGAUCAGUAGCCGACCUGAGAGGGUGAUC